GACGAACGCUGGCGGCGUGCUUAACACAUGCAAGUCGAACGGAAAAGCCCUGCUUUUGUGGGGUGCUCGAGUGGCGAACGGGUGAGUAACACGUGAGUAACCUGCCCUUGACUUUGGGAUAACUUCAGGAAACUGGGGCUAAUACCGGAUAGGAGCUCCUGCUGCAUGGUGGGGGUUGGAAAGUUUCGGCGGUUGGGGAUGGACUCGCAGCUUAUCAGCUUGUUGGUGGGGUAGUGGCUUACCAAGGCUUUGACGGGUAGCCGGCCUGAGAGGGUGACCGGCCACAUUGGGACUGAGAUACGGCCCAGACUCCUACGGGAGGCAGCAGUGGGGAAUAUUGCACAAUGGGCGGAAGCCUGAUGCAGCAACGCCGCGUGCGGGAUGACGGCCCUCGGGUUGUAAACCGCUUUCGCCUGUGACGAAGCGUGAGUGACGGUAAUGGGUAAAGAAGCACCGGCUAACUACGUG
Molecule: ribosomal RNA, 468 nt
Filed under: uncultured bacterium
Lineage: Bacteria
Description: partial 16S ribosomal RNA
Rfam family: Bacterial small subunit ribosomal RNA
Source: RNAcentral